Molecule: ribosomal RNA, 2793 nt
Filed under: gut metagenome
Description: bacterial LSU rRNA
Rfam family: Bacterial large subunit ribosomal RNA
Source: RNAcentral
AGGGCGCAUGGCGGAUGCCUUGGCUCUCGGAGGCGAUGAAGGACGUGAUAAGCUGCGAUAAGCUUUGGGGAGGUGCAAAUGACCUUUGAUCCAGAGAUUUCCGAAUGGGACAACCCAAUAUCUUGAAGAGGUAUUAUCCAACGUUGUUGGAGGCUAACGCAGGGAACUGAAACAUCUUAGUACCUGCAGGAAAAGAAAAUAAACAAUGAUUCCCCCAGUAGUGGCGAGCGAACGGGGAACAGCCCAAACCAUCCAUGUUACGGCAUGGGUGGGGUUGUAGGACUACGCCGUUGCAUGAAGACAUCAGAGAAGAACUUUCUGGAAAGAAAGACCAUAGAGCAUGACAGUUGCGUAUUCGAAUGUUGUCGAAGCAUAGUAGUAUCCUGAGUAGCGCGGAGCACGAGGAAUUCUGCGUGAAUCUGCCGGGACCAUCCGGUAAGGCUAAAUACUCCCGAGAGACCGAUAGCGAACCAGUACCGUGAGGGAAAGGUGAAAAGCACUUCGAACAGAAGAGUGAAAUAGUUCCUGAAACCGUGCGCCUACAAGCGGUCGGAGCUCGUUAAUGAGUGACGGCGUGCCUUUUGCAUAAUGAACCUACGAGUUGCCUUUGCCGGCAAGGUUAAGUGUGACGACACACGUAUCCGAAGCGAAAGCGAGUCUGAACAGGGCGUAUAGUCGGCAGUGGCAGACGCGAAACCAAGUGAUCUACCCUUGGCCAGGUUGAAGGCUGGGUAACACCAGCUGGAGGACCGCACCAAUAAGCGUUGAAAAGCUUCUGGAUGAGCUGAGGGUAGGGGUGAAAGGCUAAUCAAACUUGGAGAUAGCUCGUACUCCCCGAAAUGCAUUUAGGUGCAGCCUUGCGGGUUACUGAUGUGAGGUAGAGCGACUGAUAAGAUGCGAGGGCUUCACCGCCUAUCAAGUCUUGACAAACUCCGAAUGCGCAUCAGUUCUACCGCAGGAGUGAGGGCAUGGGUGCUAAGGUCCGUGCCCGAGAGGAGAAGAAUCCGGACCACCUGCUAAGGUCCCGAAAUGACAGCUAAGUUAAACUAACGAAGUCUGACUGCUAAGACAGCUAGGAUGUUGGCUUGGAAGCAGCCAUUCAUUUAAAGAGUGCGUAACAGCUCACUAGUCGAGGAGUCGGGCGUGGAUAAUAAUCGGGUAUCAAGUUGUCUACCGAAGCAGUGGGAUCAUUUAUAUGAUCGGUAGGGGAGCAUUCCAGUCGGCGUCGAAGGCGUACCGUGAGGUAUUCUGGAGCGUCUGGAAAAGCAAAUGUAGGUAUAAGUAACGAUAAAGGGGGCGGGAAACCCCCUCGCCGAAAGACUAAGGUUUCCUGAUCAACGCUAAUCGGAUCAGGGUCAGUCGGGUCCUAAGGCUCAGCCGAACGGCGAUGCCGAUGGCAGAAACGGUUAAUAUUCCGUUACUACCUUCAGGAGUGACGUGGAGACGCAGUAGUGACAGUGCCGCCAUCUGACGGAAUAGAUGGUUGAAGGGUGUAGGAGUCGAUCAUGGCAGGCAAAUCCACCAUGAGAUCCGAACCUGACAGUAUGCCGCGUCCUUCGGGACAAGGCAAUAGUGCGCGUAAGCAUGCUGCCGAGAAAAUCCGCUAAACUUAAUCCUGCAGGUACCCGUACCGCAAACGGACACACGUAGUCGGGAUGAAUAUUCUAAGGCGCUUGAGUGAUUCACGGUUAAGGAACUAGGCAAACUGACCCUGUAACUUCGGGAUAAAGGGUCCCUACCCUUUUAUGGGAGGGCGCAGAGAAUCGGUCCAGGCAACUGUUUAACAAAAACACAGGGCUGUGCCAAAUCGAAAGAUCCAGUAUACAGCCUGACACCUGCCCGGUGCUGGAAGGUUAAGAGGAGAUGUCAUCGAUAAGAGAAGCGUUGAAUUGAAGCCCCAGUAAACGGCGGCCGUAACUAUAACGGUCCUAAGGUAGCGAAAUUCCUUGUCGGGUAAGUUCCGACCUGCACGAAUGGUGUAAUGAUCUGGACGCUGUCUCAACCGUGAGCUCAGUGAAAUUGUAGUAUCGGUGAAGAUGCCGAUUACCCGCGAUGGGACGAAAAGACCCCGUGAACCUUUACUAUAGCUUAUCAUUGAAUCUGGGCACGUGAUGUGUAGGAUAGGUCGGAGGCUUUGAAGCAGGUACGCCAGUAUUUGUGGAGCCGCUGUUGAAAUACGACCCUUUAUUUGUUUGGAUUCUAACCCGUGGAACGGGGACAUUGAUUGGUGGGUAGUUUGACUGGGGUGGUCGCCUCCAAAAGCGUAACGGAGGCUUCUAAAGGUGCCCUCCGGCCGAUUGGUAACCGGCCUUAGAGUGUAAUGGCAUAAGGGCGCUUGACUGGGAGACUGACAAGUCGAUCAGGUAGGAAACUAGAGCAUAGUGAUCCGGUGUUUCCGUAUGGAAGGGACAUCGCUCAAAGGAUAAAAGGUACUCCGGGGAUAACAGGCUGAUCCCUCCCAAGAGCUCAUAUCGACGGAGUGGUUUGGCACCUCGAUGUCGGCUCGUCACAUCCUGGGGCUGGAGAAGGUCCCAAGGGUUGGGCUGUUCGCCCAUUAAAGUGGCACGCGAGCUGGGUUCAGAACGUCGUGAGACAGUUCGGUCUCUAUCUAUCGUGGGCGCAUGAAAUUUGCGUGGCUCUGACACUAGUACGAGAGGACCGUGUUGGACAGACCUCUGGUUUGCCGGUUGUGCCGCCAGGUGCAUUGCCGGGUAUCUAAGUCUGGAUCGGAUAAGUGCUGAAAGCAUCUAAGUACGAAGCCGGCCACAAGAUUAGAUUUCUCAGGGUCGUUGU